This 77-nucleotide transfer RNA is filed under the name Hydrogenibacillus schlegelii. Its description in RNAcentral is "tRNA-Arg(tct)". It matches the Rfam family "tRNA". Rfam says of the family: Transfer RNA (tRNA) molecules are approximately 80 nucleotides in length. Their secondary structure includes four short double-helical elements and three loops (D, anti-codon, and T loops). The record is from RNAcentral. RNAcentral also lists the same sequence under 1 other name. Lineage: Bacteria; Bacillati; Bacillota; Bacilli; Thermicanales; Thermicanaceae.
GUUCCAGUAGCUCAGCCGGAUAGAGCAGCGGCCUUCUAAGCCGUCGGUCGGGGGUUCGAAUCCCUCCUGGAACGCCA